RNAcentral lists this long non-coding RNA (3129 nucleotides) under Canis lupus familiaris (dog). RNAcentral describes it as "lncRNA (ENSCAFG00000054421.1)". The record is from RNAcentral. Lineage: Eukaryota; Metazoa; Chordata; Mammalia; Carnivora; Canidae.
CCCACCACUGUGGAGGCGCAUAGGAAAUGUUGGAGGGAUGUGCUUCCUGUGACCAGGACCCACACAAGACCAGGUCCAGGUGCAGGGUACCCAACCCAGACAGCACUUUGCUCUGACCAGUCCCAGGCACGAGAAAGGGGCUUGGAUGGCUUUGAGGAAGGUACUCCAGAGAGGCGGCCUGGCUGGGCAAGGUCUGGAGCAGGACCUCUGCUUGCCUGUGUCUAGGGGUGAUGAUGCUUCCUGACUCACGAGGGGCCCAGUGACAACUGCUGCAUAAAGAGAGAAACUGAGGAAGCAUUAGAAUCUGAAGUAUAGAUGCCACACUCCACACCAUGCUCAUGGAAGACACCCCUCAUGGCCCCAGGACCCUCAUCAAGCCAGUUCAUGACUCCAAUCAUCUAUCUCUAGUGUGAGAGCUGAUAUGUCAGCUGAAAUUUAUUUGCUACUGCUUCUGGUUGAAAGCAGUGCUUUUCGAGCUUACAUGCAUGGGAAUCACCUGGGCACCUUACUAAAAUGCAGAUUCUGAUUCGCCAGGUCUGGGGUUAGGCCUGCGUAUCUUCUGACCAGCUCCCAGGUGAUGCUGAUGCUAUCCGUCAGCGGGCCACACUGAGGCUCGAGACUUCUCUGUUGGCAGGACAGGAGCAGAGUCUAAAAGACAAAGUGUGAGCAAGUCGAUGUGUGGGUGGGGAGAAGAAAAAGGAAGAAAGGACAAAAGGAGGAAGGAUUGAGUAAAUGGGGCUUUCUGUGCGUAAGAGACAGCUAAUGAGGAUCCUUCCCCAGCCUACAGCUGAUGCAGCGUAUAAGGGUUUUGGGGGAACAACUACCAAAGUCAUUACCUCACCGUCCCCCAUAUUUCUCAUCCUUUUACCCCUAUGAAACAUUUCAAAUGGAGUGGGAAUGUUGGACUCCAAAGCACAGGCUGUCACUCAUUUCUACUCAGCCAGAUGUUUUUGAGUGCCCACAGAUUUAUGUAACUUGUGGCCUGACACAAGAUGUUCCAUGAAUAGAUGUUAGUGGUCUCAUUUCCACACUGCGGAGUGUGCAAAUCCUUGUACCUCAGCAGGCUGAGUUUCUGGGGUUAGGAUGGUCCUGUGGUUUCUCAAAGUACAGUGAUAACUCCCACCAAAGUAUUCAAGCCCAGUGAGCACAUGGCACACGGUGCCCCUCCUCUCAUUUCCCCUGCCUUCUCUGCAAUAUUGAACAGCCCUCAUACAUGCUGCGUCUUUCUGCCCUAUCAGACUAGCAAGAAAAUACAGCACUUUUUUCAUAUGGGAAGAAUUAAGAGAAAAGAGUCUUUUGCUCCUUAGACACAGAAGCUUUAUUAUUAUUUAUCUUGUAAUUUUACCCCACUUACCAAAUUUCUUUCUAAAAUGAAAUAAGUUUUUAUUCCAUGUAGCAUUUUCAUUCUCACAGUUUAAAAUUAACUGAGGCAUUUUGCAGUAAUGAAUCAGAAACACUAGAUGUCACACAAGAACCACCUAGCCUAAGGUUUAACCUCGUGUUUACAUUCGACCACUUAGUAGAUUUUAGGUUUCCAGAAAUCUUAAGAAUGUUUCAUUGCACACUUAUCAUAUUGAUUUAAAUACCAAUAGUUUCUUGAAUCGUUAUGUUGUCUAUGUCAGGGAUAUCUCAGAAAAACUAACGGUUGUGUAAACAGAUUUAUGCCUAAUUCUAGAUAUUUUAUAUUCUGAUCUAUGAGAAGGCCCUGAAAGACAUGAUAAGAAGAAAAGGAACAAUUUUUAUCUUUUAAUGGCUAGGUAGUUUCAUGUACAUAAAUUUGUGGUUUACAUACAAAAUUCCCAAACCCUAUUCCCCUUCGACCUUAACCUAGCAACUUUUAGGCUAGAGGAGCUUUUGUUUUGUCUUGUCUUCCUGAUGGCUAAACUACCAGAGCUUCAUAUAAUAGAGAUGCUUCUGGGGAGACCUACCUUGAAGGCACCAAAUCAAUCAAGAAGUGUUCCUUGAACGUCAACCAUAGCAAGAUCCAUGUAGGAGAAGCAUUUUAAACAAACAUUGAUGUUGGAUUUUUUCCCUAUAGAGAAAAGUUUCUUAAUAUAAUGUACUCUAAAUCUUGUCUUAAUUUCCCUUUCAGAUUUAAGGAAAAGUCUUGAUCAUUAAUUUUUCUACUGGACUUGUUCCUUUUUGGAUAAAUUUAGCAUAUUUUUAGGCUUCCAAUUCUCUGACAUUUAUUAUAAUUUCUCAUAAACCUAAUUUAGAGGCAGUCUGUUUCAUCAUAUAGAUUGUCUUUAGAAACUUAUAAUACCACUUUAAUAACUUUUGUGUAGUUCAGCAUUCAAGUUAAUUCAUCCUGGAAAAUUUUCAGGGAGAAGCUCAAAAGUUUGAGAGAAGUAGAGACUCUCAGAAUGGGAGAGUACUUUGAUUGUCAUGAUGGGCAAUGGGUAGAUUCCAUAUUUCCAUUAAUGAGACUUAAACAAUAUCUUUCAGUCAAUGACACUAUCCCUGGACUACAUUGAUCUGAAGACAAAUUAAAAAUCACAAUUUCUGGGGGACCCAGUUUUUGGGUGGCUCAGAUGAUUAAGUGUCCACCUUCAGCUCAGGGUCAUGAUCCUGGGGUCCUGGGAUCAAGCCCUGAGUCAGGCUCCCUGCUCAAUGGUGAGUCUGCUUCUUCCUCUGCCCCUGCCCCUCCUUGUGCUCUCUUGUGCUCUGUCUCUCCCUCUCAAAUAAAUAAAAUCUUUAAAAAAAAAACAAACAAACACACAAUUUCUUCUUCUCUGGCUCAUCUGUUGUAUCUUCCAACCAGUUUCCCAGCUGGAUGAGAAUGGAAAGAGUACUGGUGUCAGAGGCCAAGGGUCCAGUUCCAUUUUGGUCACUCUUAUAAUCUUGGGCAAAUCAUAUACCCCCUUAGUCAUGAAAAUUUCUGCUCAUACUCUAAGCACUUCAUAUUCUGUAAAAGUGUUCUUCACAUUUUUAAGCCCAGAGUGAUGCUUUUCUUUUUCUUUUAUAUUCUUUGAUAAUCUAAAAAAAAUCAAUUUCAUCCAUUUUUUAUAAAGUUAAAUAAGAUAAUAAAAGUUUUCAACUUGUGAAGGUAGAAUGCCAGUUUUACUUUGCCAAAAGUUAACAAUUUUUUUCUGUUUCUCUUUCGAUUUUAUAAAAUAAAUUGAAAUAAAG